Molecule: transfer RNA, 68 nt
Filed under: Tegillarca granosa
Lineage: Eukaryota; Metazoa; Mollusca; Bivalvia; Arcoida; Arcidae
Description: tRNA-Ala
Source: RNAcentral
GGUGCGGUAGUCAAAGGGAUUUGAUGUCCGUCUUGCACACGGAAGGUGAAAAAAAAUUUCUCGUGCCA